This 468-nucleotide ribosomal RNA is filed under the name uncultured bacterium. RNAcentral's name for it is "partial 16S ribosomal RNA". It matches the Rfam family "Bacterial small subunit ribosomal RNA", at positions 28 to 507 of the family's 1533-position model. The record is from RNAcentral.
GACGAACGCUGGCGGCGUGCUUAACACAUGCAAGUCGAACGGAAAGGCCCUGCUUUUGUGGGGUGCUCGAGUGGCGAACGGGUGAGUAACACGUGAGUAACCUGCCCUUGACUUUGGGAUAACUUCAGGAAACUGGGGCUAAUACCGGAUAGGAGCUCCUGCUGCAUAGUGGGGGUUGGAAAGUUUCGGCGGUUGGGGAUGGACUCGCGGCUUAUCAGCUUGUUGGUGGGGUAGUGGCUUACCAAGGCUUUGACGGGUAGCCGGCCUGAGAGGGUGAUCGGCCACAUUGGGACUGAGAUACGGCCCAGACUCCUACGGGAGGCAGCAGUGGGGAAUAUUGCACAAUGGGCGGAAGCCUGAUGCAGCAACGCCGCGUGCGGGAUGACGGCCUUCGGGUUGUAAACCGCUUUCGCCUGUGACGAAGCGUGAGUGACGGUAAUGGGUAAAGAAGCACCGGCUAACUACGUG